GUUAUCUAAAAGAAUUUUUUUUCUUUUGAUUAAAUGUGAAGAAAGGAUUUUGCAGGGCUGCUUCUCUAAGGAUACUAUCCAGGCUACUUCAUGAAGGUGCUACCCUGGGGAAGGUCAUGAUUCCCACACAUUGAUUCGAAGCCCUUUUAUCCAAAGCCUGGGUAUUCAGGACAUCAGCAGAUGAUACUGUAAUGCAUGCAGUCAGCCAAGGCAGACAGUCUGUUUUGAUAUACAGAGAACAGCACCAUGGAGUAGAAGAAAAG
Vidua chalybeata is the source of this 263-nucleotide long non-coding RNA. RefSeq lists it as uncharacterized. NCBI's taxonomy places the organism in Eukaryota, Metazoa, Chordata, Aves, Passeriformes, Viduidae. The transcript has 3 exons. The record is from RefSeq and is a predicted model, not a curated record.